CCCUUAGAUGUUCUGGGCCGCACGCGCGCUACAAUGAUGAAUUCAACGAGUUUAUAACCUUGGUUGAAAAGCCUGGGUAAUCUUUUGAACUUUCGUCGUGAUGGGGCUAGACCCUUGCAAUUAUUGGUCUCCAACGAGGAAUUCCUAGUAAACGCAAGUCAUCAGCUUGCAUUGAUUACGUCCCUGCCCUUUGUACACACCGCCCGUCGCACCUACCGAUUGAAUGGUCCGGUAAAAUCUUCGGAUUGAGACUUUGAUUUCUUCACGGAAAACGCUGUUUUAAAAAGUUGAUUAAACCUUACCAUUUAGAGGAAGGUGAAGUCGUAACA
RNAcentral lists this ribosomal RNA (329 nucleotides) under uncultured eukaryote. Its description in RNAcentral is "partial 18S ribosomal RNA". It matches the Rfam family "Eukaryotic small subunit ribosomal RNA", at positions 1470 to 1796 of the family's 1831-position model. The record is from RNAcentral.